GCCUCCGUGUCUGACGGUUCNNGGUAGAGCAUCGCAUUCGUAAUGCGGGGGUCGCGUGUUCGAGUCACGCAGGCGGCACCA
RNAcentral lists this transfer RNA (81 nucleotides) under Rhodospirillaceae bacterium. RNAcentral's name for it is "tRNA-Thr". The stretch from base 16 to 70 matches the Rfam family "tRNA", at positions 9 to 63 of the family's 71-position model. Rfam says of the family: Transfer RNA (tRNA) molecules are approximately 80 nucleotides in length. Their secondary structure includes four short double-helical elements and three loops (D, anti-codon, and T loops). The record is from RNAcentral. Lineage: Bacteria; Pseudomonadati; Pseudomonadota; Alphaproteobacteria; Rhodospirillales; Rhodospirillaceae.